RNAcentral lists this ribosomal RNA (253 nucleotides) under uncultured bacterium. RNAcentral's name for it is "partial 16S ribosomal RNA". It matches the Rfam family "Archaeal small subunit ribosomal RNA", at positions 474 to 727 of the family's 1478-position model. The record is from RNAcentral.
UACCAGCACCCCGAGUGGUCGGGCCGAUUAUUGGGCCUAAAGCAUCCGUAGCCGGUUUUACAAGUCCUCCGUUAAAUCCACCUGCUUAACAGAUGGGCUGCGGAGGAUACUACAAGGCUAGGAGGCGGAAGAGGCAAGCGGUACUCAGUGGGUAGGGGUAAAAUCCUCUGAUCCAUUGAAGACCACCAGUGGCGAAGGCGGCUUGCCAAUACGCGCUCGACGGUGAGGGAUGAAAGCUGGGGGAGCAAACCGG